CACGUAGGAGGCGAGCGUUAUCCGGAUUUACUGGGUGUAAAGCGCGUGCAGGCGGUUCGGUAAGUUGGAUGUGAAAGCUCCUGGCUUAACUGGGAGAGGUCGUUCAAUACUGCCGGGCUAGAGGAUGGGAGAGGGAGGUGGAAUUCCGGGUGUAGUGGUGAAAUGCGUAGAUAUCCGGAGGAACACCAGUGGCGAAGGCGGCCUCCUGGCCCAUUUCUGACGCUCAGACGCGAAAGCUAGGGGAGCGAACGGGAUUAGAGACCCCGGUAGUCCUAGCCGUAAACGAUGUGAACUUGGCGUCGGCGGGUUUAAAUCCGUCGGUGCCGCAGCUAACGCGAUAAGUUCACCACCUGAGUACUACGGCCGCAAGGUUAAA
Molecule: ribosomal RNA, 376 nt
Filed under: uncultured bacterium
Lineage: Bacteria
Description: bacterial SSU rRNA
Rfam family: Bacterial small subunit ribosomal RNA
Source: RNAcentral